Molecule: ribosomal RNA, 253 nt
Filed under: uncultured bacterium
Lineage: Bacteria
Description: partial 16S ribosomal RNA
Rfam family: Bacterial small subunit ribosomal RNA
Source: RNAcentral
UACGUAGGCAGCAAGCGUUGUUCGGAAUCAUUGGGCGUAAAGCGCGUGUAGGCGGUUCGGUAAGUCUGCUGUGAAAGUCCAGGGCUCAACCCUGGGAUGCCGGUGGAUACUGUCGAACUAGAGUACGGAAGAGGCGAGUGGAAUUCCUGGUGUAGCGGUGAAAUGCGCAGAUAUCAGGAGGAACACCAAUUGCGAAGGCAGCUCGCUGGGACGUUACUGACGCUGAGACGCGAAAGCGUGGGGAGCAAACAGG